ACGGCUCAGUAACACGUAGUCAAUCUACCCUAUGGACGGGAAUAACCUCGGGAAACUGAGAAUAAUGCCCGAUAGAACAUUAUGCCUGGAAUGGUUUAUGUUUCAAAUGAUUUAUCACCAUAGGAUGGGACUGCGGCCUAUCAGUUUGUUGGUGAGGUAAUGGCCCACCAAGACUAUUACAGGUACGGGCUCUGAGAGGAGUAGCCCGGAGAUGGGUACUGAGACACGGACCCAGGCCCUAUGGGGCGCAGCAGGCGAGAAAACUUUGCAAUGUGCGAAAGCACGACAAGGUUAAUCCGAGUGGUUUCUGCUAAAGAAACCUUUUGUCAGUCCUAGAAACACUAACGAAUAAGGGGUGGGCAAGUUCUGGUGUCAGCCGCCGCGGUAAAACCAGCACCUCAAGUGGUCAGGAUGAUUAUUGGGCCUAAAGCAUCCGUAGCCCGUUUUGUAAGUUUUCGGUUAAAUCCAUGCGCUUAACGUAUGGGCUGCCGGGAAUACUGCAUAACUAGGAAGUGGGAGAGGUAGACGGUACUCGGUAGGAAGGGGUAAAAUCCUUUGAUCUAUUGAUGACCACCUGUGGCGAAGGCGGUCUACCAGAACACGUUCGACGGUGAGGGAUGAAAGCUGGGGGAGCAAACCGGAUUAGAUACCCGGGUAGUCCCAGCUGUAAACUAUGCAAACUCAGUGAUGCAUUGGCUUAUGGCCAAUGCAGUGCUGCAGGGAAGCCGUUAAGUUUGCCGCCUGGGAAGUACGUACGCAAGUGUGAAACUUAAAGGAAUUGGCGGGGGAGCAC
Molecule: ribosomal RNA, 793 nt
Filed under: uncultured archaeon
Lineage: Archaea
Description: bacterial SSU rRNA
Rfam family: Archaeal small subunit ribosomal RNA
Source: RNAcentral